GACGAACGCUGGCGGCGUGCUUAACACAUGCAAGUCGAGCGGAAAGGCCCUUCGGGGUACUCGAGCGGCGAACGGGUGAGUAACACGUGAGUAACCUGCCCUCCACUCUGGGAUAAGCCCGGGAAACUGGGUCUAAUACCGGAUAUGACUCCCUGUCUCAUGGCGGGGGGUGGAAAGUUUUUUCGGUGGGGGAUGGACUCGCGGCCUAUCAGCUUGUUGGUGAGGUAAUGGCUUACCAAGGCGACGACGGGUAGCCGGCCUGAGAGGGCGACCGGCCACACUGGGACUGAGACACGGCCCAGACUCCUACGGGAGGCAGCAGUGGGGAAUAUUGCACAAUGGGGGAGACCCUGAUGCAGCGACGCCGCGUGCGGGAUGAAGGCCUU
Molecule: ribosomal RNA, 386 nt
Filed under: uncultured bacterium
Lineage: Bacteria
Description: bacterial SSU rRNA
Rfam family: Bacterial small subunit ribosomal RNA
Source: RNAcentral